GAUAGAGAGCGGCGAGGAGCGGUGGAAAGAUGUAGGGUUGUAGCGGUAGUCGGAUGGACAGGGGGUAAAGGGAGCGGAGGCGGGGCUGCAAGUUGGAUGUGAAAUGACGUGGCGUAACCAGGGAACGGCAUCUAAAACUGUAGUUCUUGAGUGAAGUAGAGGCAAGCGGAAUUCCGAGUGUAGCGGUGAAAUGCGUAGAUAUUCGGAGGAACACCAGUGGCGAAGGCGGCUUGCUGGGCUUUAACUGACGCUGAGGCUCGAAAGUGUGGGGAGCAAACAGGAUUAGAUACCCUUGUAGUC
Molecule: ribosomal RNA, 300 nt
Filed under: uncultured bacterium
Lineage: Bacteria
Description: bacterial SSU rRNA
Rfam family: Bacterial small subunit ribosomal RNA (bases 52-300)
Source: RNAcentral